Dalotia coriaria is the source of this 382-nucleotide long non-coding RNA. RefSeq lists it as uncharacterized. The record is from RefSeq and is a predicted model, not a curated record. The transcript is spliced from 2 exons. Lineage: Eukaryota; Metazoa; Arthropoda; Insecta; Coleoptera; Staphylinidae.
UUUAGAUUUUAUCUGUAACCGAUGUUGUCAUCUUGGUGAUCAUCAUCAUUUAGGUAUAAAUUCAAUAAAAUGCAACAUUUCCUAUGAGACGAUCAACAGAAACGUGACAAUCAGUCCGAAAUUUACUAAAAAUCGAGCUAUGAUGCUCCUUAAAGUGUUGCUCUUUCAACUUUUGUUGAUAAGUGUAACUACGGCCGCAAUCAUCUCUUCAUCUACAAGGGUAAAACGCGGCAGCAUCCCCGGUAUAGAUGACAUCAUCAGUUCAGCGUUAGAUAUUGGCAUGCAAGCCUUAGAAGCAGUGCAGAGCGUCGCCGACAUGGUUGGCAUCAGUUUGUCAAAUAAAAAAUCAUAAAAUAUGAAUAAAUAUUAAACAUUUUCAAAA